UUGAUUGACUUCUCCAUAUUUAUUUGUACAAAAAUGCUCCUGGGUGGCUUCCAUCUGACGUGGAAGCGCCUGAUAACACUAGGUAACCAGUCGUAGGCAGGAUCGUGUAGGUUCUUGCCUCCUUUCUUCACCAGGAACGCAUCUGCCUGUAAAACAAAUUCAGUUAUAAGGCAAGUUCCCGAAUGACAUGCGCACACACACAUCUGCAGCAGGAGCCUCAGAAUAAAGUUAGAAUCAAGGGCUGAUGAUCAGCGCUCAUAGUAGAUGUCAGAAAAGUAAUUAAUUGGUCAUCACAGGCUAAACAUGUUCGAAAUGCCAAUCAUUUGGACUUACCAGAUGUGUCCAUAAGAACCGUGGACUAUCUGAAACACAGCGGCCUCUGACUUCAUUCUGACCUGUAGCAAUUGGAAGUAAAAAAAAUAGGUUAGAAAGUGAAACCGAAGCCAAAGACUACAGAUAUACUAUUAAGAGCCUCAGAAUAAAGUUAGAAUCAAAGGCUGAUGAUCAGCUCUCAUUGGAGAUGUCAGAAAAGUAAUUAGUUGUUCAUCACAGGCUAAACAUGUUCGAAAUGCCAAUCAUUUGGACUUACCAGAUGUGUCCAUAAGAACCGUGGACUAUCUGAAACACAGCGGCCUCUGACUUCAUUAUGACCUGUAGCAAUUGGGAGUCGAAAAAUAGGUUAGAAAGUGAAAUCUAAGGCAAAGACUACAGAUAUACUAAUAAGAGCCUCAGAAUAAAGUUAGAAUCAAAGGCUGAUGAUCAGCUCUCAUUGGAGAUGUCAGAAAAGUAAUUAGUUGUUCAUCACAGGCUAAACAUGUUCGAAAUGCCAACACAAUAAAACUCACCAGCUCUCAGUCCAGCGAGUGGUCCGCCUGCUCAAACAAAGCAGGAACAGCCUCCCAACUCUCUGCUGAACCGACUUCAUCUGCAAAGCAAACGAGAAGGACGCUAAAGUACAAAAGAUACCAGGUUUGAAUACCAAUAGAACGUCAGAUGUUAUCGGCCAUUCCGCCGAUGGUUGUGGCAAUACGGUUAAACCUUCGUAUGGAAGGACAUCCCACGGUUGUACGGAUAGCUGCAUAUUGUAUUUGAAUAGUCUGCGAUUGGGAAAUAUCUACAUUGUAACAAACAUGUCGACGAAGAGCCACGUGUUCACAAAGUCGUUUAGGAACACCACAUUCUUUGAAAUGAACACACGAUAGUAACCAAAACGUUUUAACAAGUUGGAUUACUUACUUUACUUUAUAGCAAUACGGUUCAAUAGGUCACAUGUUACAGAGGUUGAAGCACCACGUGGCAGCACUGGCCCGCCACGUGGUGCUGUUGAAACCAACGUUAAAGGUUAGCAUACGUGGUGAGCACGUUAGCAACACGAUACUCACUUUCUUCACCGGUCUGGUUUCUUCACAGCAAACUGGCCCCGCGCUGGUUCUCUUUGCUGCCGGGGGAUCAAGUUCACAAGACGCCGCAUGUCGAGGCUGCAGGCGCGGGUCUCUCUUGCCGUGUGUGGUGAAGGAAAUGCACGUUCUAUCCAGAUGCGCCAGAGGAAAUGUACUUAUACGGCUUCCGUCUAACGGAAGUCCCGCCCCUCUCUGGGAUGGCUAGUGAGCUACAAGGCGGGUUAGCUUCCUCGCUAAACGCUAGCUUCCUAUAUUUAUGGAUAUUGUGAUGGGCUUUUGUGGCCAUGUUCGAGCAUGUCGAAGCCUCAUUCAGGUAGUGGGGAAUGCAUAUUAAUUUAAACAAAGAGAAACUACGGGGUUGUUCUAGCAUUGAACAACAACAGAAGAAGCUACGCCCUAGCCCACACGGGUAAUGGUUGAAGCUAACGUUAGGCCUCUUUAUUCAGAUGUAGA
Gasterosteus aculeatus aculeatus (three-spined stickleback) is the source of this 1853-nucleotide long non-coding RNA. The record is from Ensembl. NCBI's taxonomy places the organism in Eukaryota, Metazoa, Chordata, Actinopteri, Perciformes, Gasterosteidae.